CAGGGAAUCUUGCACAAUGGACGAAAGUCUGAUGCAGCGACGCCGCGUGGGGGAUGAAGGCCCUAGGGUCGUAAACCCCUUUCAGUGGGGACGAAAAUGACGGUACCCACAGAAGAAGGUCCGGCCAACUACGUGCCAGCAGCCGCGGUAAGACGUAGGGACCGAGCGUUGUCCGGAAUUAUUGGGCGUAAAGAGCUCGUAGGCGGUUCGGUAAGUCGGGUGUGAAAACUCUGGGCUCAACCCAGAGACGCCACCCGAUACUGCUGUGACUAGAGUGCGGUAGGGGAGCGGGGAAUUCCUGGUGUAGCGGUGAAAUGCGCAGAUAUCAGGAGGAACACCAGUGGCGAAGGCGCCGCUCUGGGCCGUAACUGACGCUGAGGAGCGAAAGCGUGGGUAGCAAACAGGAUUAGAUACCCCCGUAGUCC
Molecule: ribosomal RNA, 425 nt
Filed under: uncultured prokaryote
Description: bacterial SSU rRNA
Rfam family: Bacterial small subunit ribosomal RNA
Source: RNAcentral